RNAcentral lists this ribosomal RNA (425 nucleotides) under uncultured bacterium. RNAcentral describes it as "bacterial SSU rRNA". It matches the Rfam family "Bacterial small subunit ribosomal RNA", at positions 356 to 773 of the family's 1533-position model. The record is from RNAcentral.
GGGGAAUUUUGGACAAUGGGCGAAAGCCUGAUCCAGCCAUGCCGCGUGAGUGAAGAAGGCCUUCGGGUUGUAAAGCUCUUUCAGCCGGAAAGAAAUCGCGCAGGAUAAUACUCUGCGUGGAUGACGGUACCGGAAGAAGAAGCACCGGCUAACUACGUGCCAGCAGCCGCGGUAAUACGUAGGGUGCGAGCGUUAAUCGGAAUUACUGGGCGUAAAGCGUGCGCAGGCGGUUAUGUAAGACAGAUGUGAAAUCCCCGGGCUCAACCUGGGAACUGCGUUUGUGACUGCAUAACUAGAGUACGGCAGAGGGAGGUGGAAUUCCGCGUGUAGCAGUGAAAUGCGUAGAUAUGCGGAGGAACACCGAUGGCGAAGGCAGCCUCCUGGGCCAGUACUGACGCUCAUGCACGAAAGCGUGGGGAGCAAAC